RNAcentral lists this ribosomal RNA (427 nucleotides) under uncultured bacterium. RNAcentral's name for it is "partial 16S ribosomal RNA". It matches the Rfam family "Bacterial small subunit ribosomal RNA", at positions 355 to 774 of the family's 1533-position model. The record is from RNAcentral.
UAGGGAAUCUUCCGCAAUGGGCGAAAGCCUGACGGAGCAACGCCGCGUGAGUGAUGAAGGUCUUCGGAUUGUAAAACUCUGUUAUUAGGGAAGAACAAACGUGUAAGUAACUGUGCACGUCUUGACGGUACCUAAUCAGAAAGCCACGGCUAACUACGUGCCAGCAGCCGCGGUAAUACGUAGGUGGCAAGCGUUAUCCUGAAUUAUUGGGCGUAAAGCGCGCGUAGGCGGUUUUUUAAGUCUGAUGUGAAAGCCCACGGCUCAACCGUGGAGGGUCAUUGGAAACUGGAAAACUUGAGUGCAGAAGAGGAAAGUGGAAUUCCAUGUGUAGCGGUGAAAUGCGCAGAGAUAUGGAGGAACACCAGUGGCGAAGGCGACUUUCUGGUCUGUAACUGACGCUGAUGUGCGAAAGCGUGGGGAUCAAACA